AUACUUACCUGGUGUCGACGUGACCGUGGUCAAGAUGGCGGUGCCCCCAGGGAGAGACGCGGGCAUUGCACUGCGCUCGUGCUGACCCCUGCCACUACCCCAAACUGGGGCAGAUGGGGCAUGCAAUUUUUGGUAGUGGGGGACUGCGUUCGCGCUCUCCCCCU
This 164-nucleotide small nuclear RNA is filed under the name Rhipicephalus microplus (southern cattle tick). Its description in RNAcentral is "U1 spliceosomal RNA". It matches the Rfam family "U1 spliceosomal RNA". From Rfam's summary of the family: U1 is a small nuclear RNA (snRNA) component of the spliceosome (involved in pre-mRNA splicing). Its 5' end forms complementary base pairs with the 5' splice junction, thus defining the 5' donor site of an intron. There are significant differences in sequence and secondary structure between metazoan and yeast U1 snRNAs, the latter being much longer (568 nucleotides as compared to 164 nucleotides in human). Lineage: Eukaryota; Metazoa; Arthropoda; Arachnida; Ixodida; Ixodidae. The record is from Rfam by way of RNAcentral.